AUGAGAUUCUAUGCCCAAGUCAGUCUCUUAAGAGUCAAGCUUGCCUAACCGCAGAAGUAGGACCGAGGACCAAGAGCUCGGGA
RNAcentral lists this transfer RNA (83 nucleotides) under Gossypium harknessii. RNAcentral's name for it is "tRNA-Tyr". The record is from RNAcentral. Lineage: Eukaryota; Viridiplantae; Streptophyta; Magnoliopsida; Malvales; Malvaceae.